Molecule: ribosomal RNA, 636 nt
Filed under: Microbacterium sp.
Lineage: Bacteria; Bacillati; Actinomycetota; Actinomycetes; Micrococcales; Microbacteriaceae
Description: bacterial SSU rRNA
Rfam family: Bacterial small subunit ribosomal RNA
Source: RNAcentral
AUAUGUGACGUGACCGCAUGGUCUGCGUUUGGAAAGAUUUUUCGGUUGGGGAUGGGCUCGCGGCCUAUCAGCUUGUUGGUGAGGUAAUGGCUCACCAAGGCGUCGACGGGUAGCCGGCCUGAGAGGGUGACCGGCCACACUGGGACUGAGACACGGCCCAGACUCCUACGGGAGGCAGCAGUGGGGAAUAUUGCACAAUGGGCGAAAGCCUGAUGCAGCAACGCCGCGUGAGGGAUGACGGCCUUCGGGUUGUAAACCUCUUUUAGCAGGGAAGAAGCGAAAGUGACGGUACCUGCAGAAAAAGCGCCGGCUAACUACGUGCCAGCAGCCGCGGUAAUACGUAGGGCGCAAGCGUUAUCCGGAAUUAUUGGGCGUAAAGAGCUCGUAGGCGGUUUGUCGCGUCUGCUGUGAAAUCCCGAGGCUCAACCUCGGGCCUGCAGUGGGUACGGGCAGACUAGAGUGCGGUAGGGGAGAUUGGAAUUCCUGGUGUAGCGGUGGAAUGCGCAGAUAUCAGGAGGAACACCGAUGGCGAAGGCAGAUCUCUGGGCCGUAACUGACGCUGAGGAGCGAAAGGGUGGGGAGCAAACAGGCUUAGAUACCCUGGUAGUCCACCCCGUAAACGUUGGGAACUAGUUG